This 384-nucleotide ribosomal RNA is filed under the name uncultured bacterium. RNAcentral describes it as "bacterial SSU rRNA". It matches the Rfam family "Bacterial small subunit ribosomal RNA", at positions 524 to 906 of the family's 1533-position model. The record is from RNAcentral.
UACGGGGGGUGCAAGCGUUGUUCGGAAUCAUUGGGCGUAAAGCGCGUGUAGGCGGCUUGACAAGUCAGAUGUGAAAUCCCUGGGCUUAACCCAGGAAGUGCAUUUGAAACUGUCUGGCUGGAGUAAGGGAGAGGAAAGUGGAAUUCCUGGUGUAGAGGUGAAAUUCGUAGAUAUCAGGAGGAACACCGGUGGCGAAGGCGACUUUCUGGCCCUAUUCUGACGCUGAGACGCGAAAGCGUGGGUAGCAAACAGGAUUAGAUACCCUGGUAGUCCACGCUGUAAACGAUGUUCACUAGGUGUUGGGGGUAUUGACCCUUUCAGUGCCGCAGCUAACGCAUUAAGUGAACCGCCUGGGGAGUACGGUCGCAAGAUUAAAACUCAAAG